Molecule: small RNA, 539 nt
Filed under: Pongo abelii (Sumatran orangutan)
Lineage: Eukaryota; Metazoa; Chordata; Mammalia; Primates; Hominidae
Description: processed transcript
Source: RNAcentral
CCAGCUCCGCAAUGGGAGCCGCCGCCGUCGCCGCAGUGUAGUUUUUCGUGCUCCUCCUUUUCCUCCUCCUCUUUCUCCUCCUCCUCAGGGCUCCAGUCAGGCCGAUCCGCUCCGCUCACGUCGUAGGAAAGGAGACCAAAGGGGAUUCGGGAUUUGCAGGCACAGGGCCCCUCAUUUUGCCCAGAUGACCGGUCGUUCCACGUUUGCACUCUCAUUUUUGUCAAAGGGACCUCCCCUGCACUGCCAUAGAAUUCCCGUUAUUGUCUACAGAAGAAGGGCCCUGAGGAGAAACGUGGAGUUGGAGACAAAAUUUUCUGAGCUUUGCAAGGUUCACUUACUGAGACGGAAAGAAUGAUCUCACUCUGAGGUUUUAGCCUGCUCCAGCGAUGGAAGGAGUUCCAACUUAUCUCAAGUUUUAACGCUUUUAAGGAGAAAUCUGCUGGAGAGGAAAAACGUCAAGGUGAACCCGCUUCUGCAAGCACGGGAGACCUUUGGCCAAAGGCCUUUGUUUGCGAAGAUUUGUUUAAAAAAAAAAAAAA